GACGAACGCUGGCGGCGUGCUUAACACAUGCAAGUCGAACGGAAAGGCCCUGCUUUUGUGGGGUGCUCGAGUGGCGAACGGGUGAGUAACACGUGAGUAACCUGCCCUUGACUUUGGGAUAACUUCAGGAAACUGGGGCUAAUACCGGAUAGGAGCUCCUGCUGCAUGGUGGGGGUUGGAAAGUUUCGGCGGUUGGGGAUGGACUCGCGGCUUAUCAGCUUGUUGGUGGGGUAGUGGCUUACCAAGGCUUUGACGGGUAGCCGGCCUGAGAGGGUGACCGGCCAAAUUGGGACUGAGAUACGGCCAAGACUCCUAAGGGAGGCAGCAGUGGGGAAUAUUGCAAAAUGGGCGGAAGCAUGAUGCAGCAACGCCGCGUGCGGGAUGACGGCCUUCGGGUUGUAAACCGCUUUCGCCUGUGACGAAGCGUGAGUGACGGUAAUGGGUAAAGAAGCACCGGCUAACUACGU
RNAcentral lists this ribosomal RNA (467 nucleotides) under uncultured bacterium. Its description in RNAcentral is "partial 16S ribosomal RNA". It matches the Rfam family "Bacterial small subunit ribosomal RNA", at positions 28 to 506 of the family's 1533-position model. The record is from RNAcentral.